GAUGAACGCUCGCGGGAGGCCUAACACAUGCAAGCCGAGCGGUAUUGUUUCUUCGGACAUGAGAGAGCGGCGUACGGGUGCGUAACACGUGUGCAACCUGCCUUUAUCUGGGGGAUAGCCUUUCGAAAGGAAGAUUAAUACUCCAUAAUAUAUUGAACGGCAUCGUUUAAUAUUGAAAGCUCCGGCGGAUAGAGAUGGGCACGCGCAAGAUUAGCUAGUUGGUGAGGUAACGGCUCACCAAGGCGAUGAUCUUUAGGGGGCCUGAGAGGGUGAUCCCCCACACUGGUACUGAGACACGGACCAGACUCCUACGGGAGGCAGCAGUGAGGAAUAUUGGUCAAUGGGUGCAAGCCUGAACCAGCCAUCCCGCGUGAAGGACGACUGCACUAUGGGUUGUAAACUUCUUUUGUAUAGGGAUAAACCUACCCUCGAGAGGGUAGCUGAAGGUACUAUACGAAUAAGCACCGGCUAACUCCGUG
RNAcentral lists this ribosomal RNA (479 nucleotides) under uncultured bacterium. Its description in RNAcentral is "partial 16S ribosomal RNA". It matches the Rfam family "Bacterial small subunit ribosomal RNA", at positions 28 to 507 of the family's 1533-position model. The record is from RNAcentral.